This 733-nucleotide long non-coding RNA is filed under the name Ananas comosus (pineapple). Its description in RNAcentral is "long non-coding RNA (ACOM_LNC011087)". The record is from RNAcentral. Lineage: Eukaryota; Viridiplantae; Streptophyta; Magnoliopsida; Poales; Bromeliaceae.
UAAUUUAUCAUAUUUAAAAAUUAAUUAAUAAUUUAUUGUUUUCUAAAAUAAUAAAUCAUUCAUCACAUUCACAUAACUUUUUUUUUCGAGUCCAAAAUGUAUAUACUUUUUUUAAAGGGUAACUUCAAAUACCCCUGGUGGUUUCACAGUUUCUCACUUUAAUAUUCUAUAGUUUAAAAUGUAUUAAGUUAGCCCAUAUGAUUUCGCACUUUCUCACUUUAAUACUCAGUAGUUUAAAGUGUAUCAAGUUAGUACCAUGUGGUUUCAUUUCUCUCUUUUUAUUAUCCAUUUCACUAAUUUUUUUCAUUAAAUCAAUGACAAAGUUAAAAUUAAAGGAUACUAAAGUAAAUAUUCGAUAAACCUAGGCAGGGUAUCUGAAGUUUUGUGUGUAUAAUUUAACGAAAUAUUAACGAAGGAAAAAAAAUCAGUGAUAAAGUUAAAACUAAAGGGUACUAAAAUAAAUAUUUGAUAAACCUAUAUAGAAUAUCUGAAGUUUUUUAUAUAUAAUUUAAUGAAAUAUUAACAGAGAAGCCGAUGAAAAUAGAAAAAUAAAAUCACAAGGUACUAAAUUGAUGCACUUUAAUCCACAUGGUACUAAAGUGAGAGAGUACGAAACCAUAGGAUACUAAAUUAUUACACUUAAACCACAGCGUACUAAAGUAAAAAGGUGUGAAACCGUGGUAUUUGGAGGUUUUUUUUAAAAAAAUGGUAAAUAAUUUACUAUUUUUGUAAA